AUGGACUUCCAUAGAUAUCCAGAACACAACACCCCGCACAAUGUGUUCUUGUUUCUGCCUCUCUCCCAAAAGAAACAGGAGCUUCGAGUACCCUCCCAAAUUCUCGCCGUCGACUUCUCCCCUCUCUUCCCCGGUGAACGCAGGAUUUGAGUUGGGCAAGGAUCCCUACCCUUGUAUAGUUGUGCAUGUAAUUAGGGUCUGAAUCAAUUGGAUUUGGAUUCAAGAUUUCGUCGGUGUAUUUCCUUCAGAUCUGGCCGUGCAGGCCGCCGGAGACAGAGAUGAUAGUGACGGUUGUUGCCAUAUCCGAGUCUAUUCGAUAUAGACUGGCAUGAGUAGGCCCAGGUGUUGCGGGCGUGGAGGAUUUUUGACGGUGAUUUCAGGAUAGAGGGCAGCCACGCAGGUUGGCGUUGUUGCCAGGGACAACAAGGGCCACGUUUUCGUCUCUGUAUGCAGAAUGAUGACCCCUAGUCGAAGUGUUGAGGAGGCCGAGGCAAAAUCUGCCCUCGCCGGACUGCAGGCUCUUGCAAAAUACUACAGCGGGCCUUUGAUCCUGUAGAUGGAUUGCCAUGCAAUCAUAGAAGAGCUAGCUGUGGGAGACCAAUCCAGAUCACAGUGCUAUGCCCUGAUCAAGGAUAUUAAACAAGCACUCUCAGUUUUUUCAGCAACCAGAAAUGUCAGCGACCAGGAGAUCAUCGCAAACGUCCCGGAUAAACUCUGUCCACUGAUGAUGUCUGAAUUUGUAUAUCCUCUGGAGUAGUUUCCUACUCUAGAUCUAAAAAAAGGGCAUCCUCGCAGAGGUGUCACUGACGAUGAAGGCUCAACUUUCGCCCCUUUGUCUGAACAUAUCACAGACAGUUAUGUAUAAAAUAGUGAUUGUCUGAUGUUAUCUUAGGUGAGCAGAUGGAUGAAGCGAAAACCCCAGAAUUAGUAUUGUUGUUACAUAUGUUUUGAGCAAACAACUAAAAUAAGGGUGUACUGUGCUGGUGGUUGGGAGAUUUGGUAUGAGCCCAGUCGUUGCAUCUUUCACAAUUUAGAGUUAUCAGCUGUGACGGUCGCAGGCCAUGCAACUUCACAAGGCCGAUGCUGGAAGGAGGGUGUAUUGUGCUGGUGGUUGGGGGAUUUGGUAUGAGCCCAGUCGUCGCAUCUUUCACAAUUUAGAGUUAUCAGCUGUGACGGUCGCAGGCCAUGCAACUUCACAAGGCCGAUGCUGGAAGGACGAUGAUUUCUUUGAACCCUGAUCAUUUUGUAUGUACUUUUAUAUAACUCUCUUAUGCAUGCAAGUUCUGUAUUAAGCAUUUUUAUUUUGUGUUUCCUUUUUCAUGUGAGUUCUCUUGAUCAGUUCCUGGUUGUGAUAUGCUUUGAGACUAAUAUACUUAGCAAAUUAUUGUAGCAAUAUUUUGUCUUGGUUGAUCAGGCUUAAAGUAUUGUAGAUUGCUAUCUUUGAGAUACUAUUAUGUGAUAUGAAUCUUUUUUC
This is a long non-coding RNA of Triticum dicoccoides, 1474 nucleotides long. RefSeq lists it as uncharacterized. The record is from RefSeq and is a predicted model, not a curated record. The transcript has 5 exons. Lineage: Eukaryota; Viridiplantae; Streptophyta; Magnoliopsida; Poales; Poaceae.